AUACGGAGGAUCCGAGCGUUAUCCGGAUUUAUUGGGUUUAAAGGGUGCGCAGGCGGCCAUUUAAGUCAGCGGUUAAAUCGUGGGGCUCAACCCCAUUCUGCCGUUGAUACUGGGUGGCUUGAUUGCGGUCGAGGUUGGCGGAAUUCGUUGUGUAGCGGUGAAAUGCAUAGAUAUGGCGAAGAACACCGAUUGCGUAGGCAGCUGACCAGACCGCAAAUGACGCUCAUGCACGAAAGUGCGGGGAUCGAACAGGAUUAGAUACCCUGGUAGUCCGCACAGUAAACGAUGAAUACUUGUUUUCGGCGAUAUAAUGUCGGAGGCAAAGCGAAAGCGAUAAGUAUUCCACCUGGGGAGUACGCCGGCAACGGUGAAACUUAAAGGAAUUGACGGGG
Molecule: ribosomal RNA, 392 nt
Filed under: uncultured bacterium
Lineage: Bacteria
Description: partial 16S ribosomal RNA
Rfam family: Bacterial small subunit ribosomal RNA
Source: RNAcentral